Molecule: long non-coding RNA, 826 nt
Organism: Diachasma alloeum
Lineage: Eukaryota; Metazoa; Arthropoda; Insecta; Hymenoptera; Braconidae
Exons: 3
Source: RefSeq, a predicted model, not a curated record
UGCUCGGCUACCCUUAACGUGUGGUGUUUCAACUCGCGUAAUUGAAACGGUUAUAAAUUAUUUUUCAAGGAUCCAAUUAAUGGUGAAAUUGUCGAAUGGAGGAAAAGUAGGAAAAGUGUUUGUUGGAAUUAAAGUCGAUAGUUGAACGAAUUUCAUUCAAUACCAGUAUUGUUUCAUUCCUCAUAUUGAGUCAUUCCGUGAAUCAUUAGUAGAGUCAGUGAAAAAUUGAAGGAAAAUAAUUGCAUCACGUGUGUGAGAGUAAUUCAAAAGUGACCAAACAACGAUCAAGUUGCCUGUUUUUUUUUAGUUUUAAGUUUCUGUGCAAAUUGCAGUCGGUGCGCGUGUGUCGUGAUAGUGUCAGGUGUGAACUGAGGCGGGAUAAAUCUGGAUUCUCGAAACUCCAUCGAUCAUUGGAAUUGAUACCCAGGAGCAGUCAGGAUUAUCAUUUUCUCAGUUUUGUUUGUUUAUGUUCUGUGUUGUAACGGAGUUUGCUAGUGGAAGUGUGCAUACGUCCCUGGCCUGGAGUCAUUGCGGUGCCUCUGGACGAGGCAGGAGGACCGCCUUGUACGGCAAAAAUCGAGUAUAAAGCUGCACUCCUCUUGAAUUGUACCCAGUAGAUGUAUCAGUCGUCAGUGUGUGUAUCACCAUGCAGGAAUAAGAGAAGGGAAACGUUCGGUAACCGCACAUUACUCGGCUGGGUAAAUUCCGUACUUACAUGCGCACCACCCCUGCUGCCACGAGUGUCUGUGAAAAUUCUCUUCUUCGUGGAACUGAUGGAGUGGAGGAUCGCAGCAAAUAGGAGAAACGGAGGUUUCCAGGCUUGAGU